GUCGCACACGCAACGACGUAACACUCAAACACACAAACGGACAGCGCGGGGGGCGGACAAGCAGGCAGAUAGGGUGGGUAGGUAAAAAGAUAAUCACUACACGGGAGAGAGAGAGAGAGAGAGACGCCCACGACGAGCGUUCGUCGCCUGGGUCAGCCAUAUGCCACGUCAGCCAGAAUGACGUCGUUCUCGCGACGGCGAGAAAAGGAGGAUCGCGCGAUCUGACCGAAUUCCAUUCUGCUUGUUGCGGGCUUUUUGGGAAAAAGAGAUCGCGAGAUCGCUCGCGUAAGGGAGAGAUCUCGCACUAUAGUGAAAAUUUGUAUAUCCGCCGCCCUCCUGGCGAGGGAAAGAGAGAGAAAGAGAGAGAGAGAGAGAGGAAAAGAUUAAAGACCAGCCGAAAGUGCAAAAUAUUCGUAUUCAUUCAGUUCGGUAGGAGAAACUUUUCGGGAAAAAAAAAAAUCCCGCCGAAGACCUCCAAGGUCCUUUUGUGAAAUAUAGAAAGAGAGAAAAAGUCGAAAAUUAAAGAACGAUCGUAACAAAAACGUAAACUGUUUUUCGGGAUACGUAGAAAGAAAACUGUUACGGUUAUUCGCGUGAGAAAACGAGAGACGCAGACAAGAGACGGAGAAAGGGAGAUAAAAGAGGAGACGUAGUCUCUUUCGUAGACUACGUUUCUAGUUUCUACACGGAGAGCGUUUAUUAUAUAGCUCUCUCACAAAUGCUAGCAUUCAUUCGAGCAGCGCGAUUAUUCCGCCAGAGCAAAGACCUGUCGAGUGUGGUCGGUCGAAUCGAUCGUAUGAUCGCUUGAUCGCCGUCCCCGGCCGAUCGGGAGAGGCCGCAGUGCUGAUAUAGGAAAACUGACUCACUUGUUCACUUCGGGGUAACGAGAGCGAGACACGCACAGAUCGUGAUCGAUCUGCGGAACCGAAAACGAAAAUGGCAGUAGAGAGUGUUUCCGCGGCUGAGACUCUAAUCCAAAGCAAUGAUAAUGAUCUGGAAGAUGGAGAAAUUCCAUCAGACGAAGACGACGAGCCUGUCGUUCCUGCAGCAAAUGAUGCAUCAGAGGCUGCUAAACCAACAUCUAAAUCAGAUUCUUCAACAAAUAAAAAUUUUGAUGCAAAGUUUAACAAGAAUAAAAAGCAGCAGCCUGUACAGCCAGCUGGUAAACAUUUUUUGAAGUACAAAAGUCCAACCGAAGAUUGGGCUGGAGAUGUUGAAAAAGCUAUUAAAGCUGCAAUGGAAGAAGAUGGAGGGAGAAAUCAGGAAUCCAAAACAAAGAACAAGAACAAUAGGAAUAAAGUUCGAAAAAGAAUUCGUGAUGAGAAAGAGGAGGAUCGUGGUAAAGAUCAAAAGGUAUGUAAAACAAAGAAACGAAAAUUAAGUGACGAGGAGAAUAUCAACGAGGAUGAAGAUGAAAUGCUUUUUGUACGAGGAGCUUCACCCAUUAGGAAGGAUUCUCAAGAAAAUAAUAAUUCUCCCAGGCGUACAAACGAGCAUGAAAAUUUUGAUAGUAAUUCGGAUUAUGAGGAAAGACCUAAUAUAAAUCGACAUAGAGAAAAUGAUAACAAACGCAGCACUGGACGAGGAGGAGGAGGAGGAGGAGGAGGAAGCGGAGGGGGAGGAGGGCGUCGUGGCAAAAAUGAACGUGGUGGUAAAAACAAAACUCGGAACCAAAUCCGAAACGAUCGAAAUAGUCGUCGGCAACAGAAUAAUGAUCAUGGACAGGAAGCAGAUACAAUUUGUGUAUAUUAUAUGCAAGGAAAGUGUCAUAGGGGAGAUGAUUGUCCAUAUUCGCACAAUGCUUUACCACCUAGAAAAAUGGAAUUGUGCAAGUUUUACCUUAUGGAUUGUUGUGCUAAACGUGACAAAUGUCUGUAUAUGCAUCAUGAUUUUCCUUGCAAGUUCUUCCAUACUGGUUUGAAGUGUAAUCAGGGUGACAAUUGUAAAUUUUCACAUCAGCCUUUAAAUGAACAGGUAAAAGGUAUUCUUCUGAAACAUUUGGAAACUGCACCAAAGGAAAUUCUUGGUGAUUUUCCAAGAUUAAGUAGGGAGGGUGCAAUGUUAAUGAUAAAUAAUACAGCGCGUUCUCUAGCGCAAGGUCAAGAUACAACAAAUCAAAAGAUUCCCAGUCUUUUUGAAUUGAAUCUAUCAGCACCUACAGAAAAAACUGAUGAAAAAGAAGAUAAAGAAGAACAAACAAAUUCACAAAAACAAGCCAACCUUAGGGAGAGAAAGCCUUCUGGUAAGAAGACUCGAUGGGGAUCAGACGAGGAUAGAGUUCCCUACGAGCAUAUUAUGCUAUUACAAUCAGCAAAUGAACUUGGUCUUCAACUUCCAAACGCUGCAUUAGGUUUAGCCACGCAGCAACAAGCACAAAAGCAACCUAUUGCACCUUCAAAUUUCUAUAGCGAAAGAAAUAUAGAAUCAAAUAAAACUGUACAAAAGACGAAAGAAGAUUUUACAAAAGAUGUAGGAGAAGAUGAUAUAUUAAACGAGUCGAAAAAGAGAAAAGACGUUGACUUGAGGCAACUAUUGAACGCAAAGAAACCACCGCCUGUUUAUAGUAUAGCGGAUAAAGUGGCGAGUCUUACGAAAAAUAAACUCGAUGACGAAAGCGAUCAAGACGAAGAAGCGGAACUUUUUAUCGAAGUACCAGCUGAAGAUGAGGACAAGGAAAAAGAAAAACAUCUCGAUAGCGAGCAAAGCGAUCAAGUCCACGACGUUUUCUUUUCUUCUAUGGAUGAACCUGAAGCGGCGCCGCCUUGCCAUUUGCCGAAGAAGGCACAAGAGUUAUUCAUGCGCAUACAGCAGCAGCAACGCGCGGCCCAAGACAGUUUUAAAAAUAUGGAUAACGAUUCCAACGCACGUACCGAUCAAAUCAUCGAGGAUUGGUAUUCGGAUGACGAGGAUGAUGAUGAUGAUGAUGACGAUGAUGAUGAAGGCGGCAAUCUUACUAUAGUGGACAGUUCGAAAGAUGAAAUUGAGACCAUCGAGAAAAACCAGGAUAUCAUUGUCAAAGAAGAGUUUCAGCCCACGCCACCUGCGUCCAACGUGCCUCAACCGGCCGCUAUCGUGGACAAAUUGGGUGAUUUGAGCAAGAUUGACAUCAGUGCCGAAGUGUCUAAACUAUUAUCCACUAUAAAAGCUCAAAGUUCAACGAGCAGUAAAGCACAGCAAGCGGUUAAUUCAAGCCAAGACACAUCCAAAACUAAAUCGGUCCAAGAUCCCAAAUCAGACAGUGAGAUGUCGUCGAGUCCGAGACUAUCACCGGGACCGAGUUCGAUUACUGCACCCGUAUCUAGGGAUCCGCGCAUGUCCCGAGAUCCCAGACAGCGUCGAGAGAUAGAACAGAAGCCAAGCAGCCCAAGCAUAUCCGAUGCUAAGAGAGAAUCGCAGAAGCCUCUCAGGCUGGAAACAAGCAUCUAUAGUUCUGGUAUCACUGCGAUGGACGCGAAUAUGGAUACCGAUCUUCGGACGAGAGCAGAUCAAGAUCUCAGGCGACAGGAUAUGGACUUUCGGCAGCGUUUUCAGACCACCGAGUUCGGCGAUACGGAUCUUCGUGUGAAAUCUGACGUAGAUUUGCGACAAAUACUGAGCCUGCCAUUCAAACCGGCACCCGCGCACGACCCAUGUACCGAAAUUGAUGCGAGUAUCGCGUCGCAUCCGCCGAUGCUGUACAAAGUUUACGUGGUGGACAUACCCAGACCGGAUUAUACGAAACUAACAAAAGAGGACGCGCAGGUCAAAUACGAUCCGCGUCUUCGUAAGAUCUUCCGCAUUGUCCAACCUGAGCUGGCCGACUCACCAAUGUCGCCGCCGCCGCCCCAGGUCAAACAGGAAAUACCAAAAUCUCCACCGCAAUGCACCGUUCGUACAGAUCCGCGACGGAAAACGCUCGAGGCAGCCGCUUCCAAUCAGCAAUCAUCCUCGCAAAACGUGAUCAACGCUUCCAAGGGAAGACAACCGCAACCGAUGGAAGCGAUGGGACCCAAUAUGGGUCUCACUCCGGUCGGUAUGCAAGUGGGACCGCCUGGUAUGUCUGGACCACCGCCUGGCGGUAUGCCAGGUCCACCGCAGAACAUGAUGGGUCCAAUGGGUCCAAAUUACCCGAUGGGUAUGGGUCCAAUGAGGCCUAUGAUGAACCCCAUGCCGCCGCCUAUGGGCAUGCCGCAUGGCGCCGGUGGAAUAGGUAUGAACGGACCCAUUCCGAUGCCAUCCCAGAAUCAGAUGAAUUUCGACCCACGUUUUAACGUGCAACGUAACAAUGGAGCUGGACUGUUGGGUCCUGCGCCCGCUCCUUCGUACGAAGGAGGUCCUCCUUAUCCUUGUGCUAGCAGUUACAAUAAUUUUGGAGGACCCGGCGGCGGCGGCGGAACUGGUGAGCCCGGUAUGAUGGGAUUCAAUCCAAACGGGUCAAAUGGGCCUAGUUUUGGUCCGAUGGGCGAUGAUUGGGGCCCGGGCAACAAUAGACAGCGUGGCGGUCGUAUGCGCCGAAGGAAUCGCAACAGGACCAAUAUAGUGACUAAUAAUUGAAAGAAAUAGCAAGGGAAAUAAAUUAUAUAUAUAUAUAUAUAUAUAUAUACAUACAUAUUGACAUAUAGACUGUGAGCACCUGAUAAUAAUUCUCAUGAGCAAUCAAACUGCAACGUGCUCGAUUGUAUAUUUUAGUCUUUCCAGUUUAUUUUGACGGUAUCACUAUGAGGUUUACAGAUUUAUUAUCACUCUAUAGAUUUAUUCUUAAAUUAUAAAUAUUUAUGUAAAUAUAUAUAUUAUAUAAAUAUUCCUAAUCAUCUUUGCUAUUUACUUUUCACUUAUAUAUUAAAUCUAUAAACGACUACUUAAAAACUUACUCAAAAAAGUUAUGAUUCUAAUAAUUAUUGUAUUAAUAAUAAUUAUGGUCGACAGAUUGUAAACUCUAGUGACGAAGAAAAUAAUAGCUCGCAUCGUAUGUAAUUCUUUAAUAAACGCAGCGGGAGAAACUGCACUGCAUGUAAUGCUCAUACAUGCAUGAUUUUCUAUUUGUAUGGAAAAUCUAUGCGUUCUAAAUAAUGUGCAAAACAUAACGUAUUGAACACAUCCAUCUAAUUGUAAUUUGUCGCAUAAAAUUCUCGAUACGUCGCUAGUGAAAUAUAAUCCGUCAAAUGAAGGAUAUCCAUAGAUAUAUUUCGAUGUGUAUCCACUAGUUUAUAAAUAGGUUCUAUGCAAAAAAGACACUUACCAUAAGUCAUGCUGAAAUAAUUAAUUCAAGAGUAAACGAGCGGAGCAAAUGCGAUAAUAGAAACGUUAAUCAAGAUAAUUUUUUUGUCUUCCAUGCAAGUGGCACGCUGAGUGCGUGCGAUUUUUGCAUACACGUUGUCACUGUACGAUUCGCGAAGCAAGCGGUUUCGUACACUGAUAUGACACGAUCUUUAUCCAUAUUGCGGAAACAUACCGUGGAGUUGUAGAGAAUUUAACGUGAAAUGCAAUAUUUUGUAAAGAAGUCAAUAUAUAGUGCGCGAAAGAAAUUUUGCGGCGUAUAUGAUAUGUAGUACUUUUUUAUAUUAAAAAAAAAUAUGCGCAAGCAUGUAAAUUCCGGUAUUGUAUCGAUUUUUGCUCGAAAUAAUUUAUAUAUUAUAUAGUGCUCAUUCUUGUGCAUCUCAGACAAACUAUUAUUUAACGCUUUAUUAAAUUCUUAUAGAUUUAUGUGCGACUUAAAAUAAUAAUAACGAUAAAAUCUGAGUAAUAGCGAGAAAGGAGAACAAUUUCUCUAGGAUUCGCUCUCGAUUGAUUUUAUUUUAAAUUUCGAAUGAAAAUGAGCGGCGGUUUUAACUGCAAUUCUAUAUACAUUUAUCAAUGUACAAUGGAACUUAGAGGAUCAGCACGUAUCGAUGAUAAGUCCAAUCGUG
Molecule: RNA transcript, 5885 nt
Organism: Cataglyphis hispanica
Lineage: Eukaryota; Metazoa; Arthropoda; Insecta; Hymenoptera; Formicidae
Gene: su(sable)
Gene name: protein suppressor of sable
Exons: 9
Source: RefSeq, a predicted model, not a curated record